This 24-nucleotide microRNA is filed under the name Glycine max (soybean). Its description in RNAcentral is "gma-miR4368a". The record is from miRBase by way of RNAcentral. Lineage: Eukaryota; Viridiplantae; Streptophyta; Magnoliopsida; Fabales; Fabaceae.
AAGACGGUACUUACCUCAGUAACA